This 141-nucleotide small nuclear RNA is filed under the name Prolemur simus (greater bamboo lemur). RNAcentral's name for it is "U4 spliceosomal RNA (ENSPSMG00000024050.1)". It matches the Rfam family "U4 spliceosomal RNA". From Rfam's summary of the family: U4 small nuclear RNA (U4 snRNA) is a component of the major U2-dependent spliceosome. The structure of U4 snRNA from yeast and human has been reported. Lineage: Eukaryota; Metazoa; Chordata; Mammalia; Primates; Lemuridae. The record is from Rfam by way of RNAcentral.
AGCUUUGCACAGUGGCAGUAUCGUAGCCAAUGAGGUUUAGCCAAGGCACGGUUAUUGCUAAUUGAAAACUUUUCCCAAUACCCCGCCAUGACGACUUGAAAUACAGUCGGCAUUGGCAAUUUUUGACAGUCUCUACGGAGA